UCGCCUGGUUUUACAAAAACAUUUCUUACAGACCUAUUUGUAAGUAUUACCUGCUCCAUGAUUUUUAUUAAAUAGCCGCGGAAAUUUAACCGUGCUAAGGUAGCAUAAUCAUUAGCCCCUUAAUUAGGGGCUCGUAUGAAAGGUGAAACAUCUCAUCUACUUUAUUAAAUAAUAUUUUUCAAAUUUAAACUAAAAAUAAAAAUGUUUUUAUUUCAUAAACAGACGAUAAGACCCUAUUGAACUUUACUUUAGUUAAGCUGGGGCAGCUUAAAAAAAAUUAUCUUUUUACAGUUAUUUAAAUAAAUAACCCAAUAAAAUUGAAUUUAAACAAGUUACCAUAGGGAUAACAGCGUAAUACCUUUUUAAAGUUCUUAUUAAAAAAGGGGAUUGCGACCUCGAUGUUGAAUUAAUGUCACUUUACAGAUGCAAUAAUUUGGGAGAGGUCGUCGCC
RNAcentral lists this ribosomal RNA (451 nucleotides) under Araniella yaginumai. Its description in RNAcentral is "partial 16S ribosomal RNA". It matches the Rfam family "Bacterial large subunit ribosomal RNA", at positions 1796 to 2580 of the family's 2925-position model. The record is from RNAcentral. Lineage: Eukaryota; Metazoa; Arthropoda; Arachnida; Araneae; Araneidae.